This is a long non-coding RNA of Anolis carolinensis (green anole), 762 nucleotides long. The record is from Ensembl. Lineage: Eukaryota; Metazoa; Chordata; Lepidosauria; Squamata; Anolidae.
ACAGUGGGAGCUCACCCCAUUUCCCGGAUUUGAACCACCAACCGUUCGGUCAGCAAGUUCAGCAGCUCAGCGGUUUAACCAGCUGCACCACCGGAGGCUCCUUGUGACAUAAUGUGCAUUUAACCAAGAACACUGAACAAAAUACAUCAGUGGGAAGGUGCCCGGGAUGAGGACACCCAGAAAGUGAGCAACAUGGAAAAGGAAGGCGUUGUUUCUUGUCUUUCUCAAACAUGAUCACUUCUGCUACCUUGGGCAGAUGUGACCGUGAAUCCCCAAAGACCAGCAGAUAAAAACUCUUCCUGGAGAUCGCUGGAAGCACCUUCUACAUUAUUGAGCAGAGGAAGCAGACCUGAGCAGCCCUCGGGCAAAAACAGUGUAUCAGUCCCUGUGCCAUCAGGCAUUGUGUUACCUGUCCAGAUGCAGUAAGCUCAUUUUCUUUUGGAAUAUUUUUGUUAGAAACUGUAAAACUUUGGAAUUAGAAAAGUAACUUUGCCAUGACUCGAAAACAGGUAAGUCAAUGAAACAAAAAACAGGCACAACUACUUUCUGAAAAGAGUGAUGGGGAGAGAGUUGCCCCCUUCAUGAAAGAAACUAAGCCCAGUGUUUGAUUUCUGCUGUACAUGUGGAUUUGUAACUCUGCUUAAUUACCCUUUGCCACUGCUUCUCAAUGUUAUCCCCUUCCUUAUACUUUAAGGGGGUCUAUAUGUCUUAAAAGCACCAGAUCCCAUCUGAUCUUGGAACCUAAGCAGGGCCAACUCUCGU